UACGUAGGGUGCAAGCGUUAAUCGGAAUUACUGGGCGUAAAGCGUGCGCAGGCGGUUGUGCAAGACAGAUGUGAAAUCCCCGGGCUUAACCUGGGAAUUGCAUUUGUGACUGUACGGCUAGAGUGUGUCAGAGGGGGGUAGAAUUCCACGUGUAGCAGUGAAAUGCGUAGAGAUGUGGAGGAAUACCGAUGGCGAAGGCAGCCCCCUGGGAUGACACUGACGCUGAAGCACGAAAGCGUGGGGAGCAAACAGG
This 253-nucleotide ribosomal RNA is filed under the name uncultured bacterium. Its description in RNAcentral is "partial 16S ribosomal RNA". It matches the Rfam family "Bacterial small subunit ribosomal RNA", at positions 524 to 776 of the family's 1533-position model. The record is from RNAcentral.